Molecule: long non-coding RNA, 449 nt
Filed under: Mytilus galloprovincialis (Mediterranean mussel)
Lineage: Eukaryota; Metazoa; Mollusca; Bivalvia; Mytilida; Mytilidae
Source: RNAcentral
UGAAAAUCAACUAUCAGUCAUUCAAUUAUUUAGCUGGGUUAAAAGGAAAUAAAUAAAACAUUUUUUUUUAGCUUUUUAGCUUUUGUAUUGGUCAGACCUGGAAAAAUGUUUCAAUCACAUUUGAAAAAGUCAGGGACUUCUAAAUUUGAAAAUCUUCCAGUAGUUCCUCUUACAAUGGUCAUUUUUUAAUUUUCAAAUGUUAUUAGAAAAUUAAUUGUUGUCCAUCACACCCCAGUUGUACUGAAUUAAAAAAAUAUUAAUCACAGCUGAAAUAAAAAAAAAUGAUUUUACCUUUUGAGUUUUAAGUCAACCCCUCUUAAAGGAGUAGGUUCAGUAAGACCCCUUUUUGGCCCCAAAAUAAAGCAGUUUUACAAAAUUGUUAAAAUGUAACCCUUUAGUUAUUUAUUGGACAGUAGAAUGCUUCUGCUACAUAAAUAUGGGCUGUUUUU